This 506-nucleotide ribosomal RNA is filed under the name uncultured bacterium. RNAcentral's name for it is "partial 16S ribosomal RNA". It matches the Rfam family "Bacterial small subunit ribosomal RNA", at positions 29 to 523 of the family's 1533-position model. The record is from RNAcentral.
AGUGAACGCUGGCGGUAGGCCUAACACAUGCAAGUCGAACGGCAGCACAAGAGAGCUUGCUCUCUGGGUGGCGAGUGGCGGACGGGUGAGGAAUACAUCGGAAUCUACUCUGUCGUGGGGGAUAACGUAGGGAAACUUACGCUAAUACCGCAUACGACCUACGGGUGAAAGCAGGGGACCUUCGGGCCUUGCGCGAUUGAAUGAGCCGAUGUCGGAUUAGCUAGUUGGCGGGGUAAAGGCCCACCAAGGCGACGAUCCGUAGCUGGUCUGAGAGAAUGAUCAGCCACACUGGAACUGAGACACGGGCCAGACUCCUACGGGAGGCAGCAGUGGGGAAUAUUGGACAAUGGGCGCAAGCCUGAUCCAGCCAUACCGCGUGGGUGAAGAAGGCCUUCGGGUUGUAAAGCCCUUUUGUUGGGAAAGAAAUCCAGCUGGCUAAUACCCGGUUGGGAUGACGGUACCCAAAGAAUAAGCACCGGCUAACUUCGUGCCAGCAGCCGCCGUAA